Molecule: unclassified non-coding RNA, 287 nt
Rfam family: Metazoan signal recognition particle RNA
About the family: The signal recognition particle (SRP) is a universally conserved ribonucleoprotein. It is involved in the co-translational targeting of proteins to membranes.
Source: Ensembl
GCUGGGCGCAGUGGCGCGUGCCUGUAAUCCCAGCUACUCGGGAGGCUGAGGCUGGAGGCAGGGGUUCUGGGCUGCAGUGUGCUGUGCCGAUCGGGUGUCCGCACUAAGUUCGGCAUCAAUAUGGUGACCUUCCGGGAGUCGGGGACCACCAGGUUGCCUAAGGAGUGGUGAACCAGCCCAGGUCGGAAACGGAGCAGGUCAAAACUCCCGUGCUGAUCAGUAGUGGGAUCGCGCCUGUGAAUAGCCACUGUACUCCAGCCUGGGCAACAUAGCGAGACCCCGUCUCU